GACGAACGCUGGCGGCGUGCUUAACACAUGCAAGUCGAACGGAAAGGCCCUGCUUUUGUGGGGUGCUCGUGUGGCGAACGGGUGAGUAACACGUGAGUAACCUGCCCUUGACUUUGGGAUAACUUCAGGAAACUGGGGCUAAUACCGGAUAGGAUCUCCUGCUGCAUGUUGGGGGUUGGAAAGUUUCGGCGGUUGGGGAUGGACUCGCGGCUUAUCAGCUUGUUUGUGGGGUAGUGGCUUACCAAGGCUUUGACGGGUAGCCGGCAUGAGAGGGUGACCGGCCACAUUGGGACUGAGAUACGGACCAGAAUCCUACGGGAGGCAGCAGUGGGAAAUAUUGCGCAAUGGGCGGAAGCCUGAUGCAGCAACGCCGCGUGCGGGAUGACGGCCUUCGGGUUGUAAACCGCUUUCGCCUGUGACGAAGCGUGAGUGACGGUAAUGGGUAAAGAAGCACCGGCUAACUACGUG
This 468-nucleotide ribosomal RNA is filed under the name uncultured bacterium. RNAcentral describes it as "partial 16S ribosomal RNA". It matches the Rfam family "Bacterial small subunit ribosomal RNA", at positions 28 to 507 of the family's 1533-position model. The record is from RNAcentral.